GUUUUAUGAUUAGGCCCAAAUUACCAUCUUUUUAAUGUAAUAGAUUAUAGAUUUCAUGCAAAGGUCUAAUUUUAAACCAAAGUCCAUAUGAGUUAUUUUUAAUUAGCAAUCAUACAUCAAUCAUGUACUGUUACUACUUUACAUAUUACAAGGGUACAAAAGUGAAAGGAAAAAGACAAGAAAAAUAAUAAAGUUACAUCCCUCCUACAACUACUUGACGAAAAAUAAGUAAAAACUAACUAAAACGAGUGUAAGACAGUGAAAUUAGGUGAAAAUUGCAAAAAAUGAGCGGACUAGGAACGAACAGUCGAUCGGCUCUGCGUAUAGUCGACCGGUUGUAUGCUGAGCUGAUCGACUCUGUGGCUCCUUAAGCAACAAAUCGACCAUUUUGAUGAGUCUUCCAAUUUUUAAUAAUUCCAGGCUCCUAAACACCCCGAGAAUCUAUCAAAACACAUAAAAAUAAAGCAAAAACAAUUAGCGUGUGAUUAAAAUGAGGAAAAUAAAGCUUAUCAUCUAUAAAACAGUGGAUUCGAGUCUAAGCACAUGAAAAAAGGCAAUUCAAAACAAACAUGCAUUAAUCUUAGUCAAAAUAUAAACUGAUAUGAAAAUUAACUAUCUAAUAUGCUGGAUUGAUUAAUCAUUCAUAAGGAAUCGCAAAACAAAACUAAUAGAUCCUAAGCAUGUUGGCAAUCAAGUGGUCAGAUUAAAAAGAAAGCAUAUUAUCAGAUGGUAAAUGGAAAAUUAAAAAAAUCAUAUUUCUAUUGAACGAGAGUUUUAUUUUAUCUAAUCUUAAUCAUGGUAAAUCUUUUAAUCAAUCACCCUAGCAUGCAAAUAUAAUCCAAUAUCUUAGAAGUUAUCAGAUUCAAACCCUAGACAUGAAGAUCUAAUAAAAAAACAAGGCAAUAUGUGACUGAGAUCGUAUUAAGAAAAUCAUAUCUAAGCUAACAUCAAGAUCAAUGCUUAUAAAGAUUAAGAAAAGAAAUCAUAAAGGA
RNAcentral lists this long non-coding RNA (992 nucleotides) under Ricinus communis (castor bean). RNAcentral's name for it is "long non-coding RNA (RCOM_LNC003127)". The record is from RNAcentral. Lineage: Eukaryota; Viridiplantae; Streptophyta; Magnoliopsida; Malpighiales; Euphorbiaceae.